Molecule: ribosomal RNA, 404 nt
Filed under: uncultured bacterium
Lineage: Bacteria
Description: bacterial SSU rRNA
Rfam family: Bacterial small subunit ribosomal RNA
Source: RNAcentral
UGGGGAAUAUUGGACAAUGGGGGAAACCCUGAUCCAGCAAUGCCGCGUGAGUGAUGAAGGCCUUAGGGUUGUAAAGCUCUUUCGACGGGGACGAUGAUGACGGUACCCGUAGAAGAAGCCCCGGCUAACUUCGUGCCAGCAGCCGCGGUAAGACGAAGGGGGCUAGCGUUGUUCGGAAUUACUGGGCGUAAAGCGCGCGUAGGCGGUUUUCCAAGUCAGGCGUGAAAGCCCCGGGCUCAACCCGGGAACUGCGCUUGAUACUGUGAGACUUGAGACCGGGAGAGGAUAGUGGAAUUCCCAGUGUAGAGGUGAAAUUCGUAGAUAUUGGGAAGAACACCAGUGGCGAAGGCGGCUAUCUGGACCGGUACUGACGCUGAGGCGCGAAAGCGUGGGGAGCAAACAGG